This 357-nucleotide ribosomal RNA is filed under the name uncultured bacterium. Its description in RNAcentral is "bacterial SSU rRNA". It matches the Rfam family "Bacterial small subunit ribosomal RNA", at positions 29 to 375 of the family's 1533-position model. The record is from RNAcentral.
AACGAACGCUGGCGGCGCGCCUAACACAUGCAAGUCGAACGAGAAGCUGUAGCAAUACAGUUGUACAGUGGCGAACGGGUGAGGAAUACAUGGGUGACCUACCCUCGAGUGGGGAAUAACCAGCCGAAAGGUUGGCUAAUACCGCGUACGUUUCCCAGUCUGCGGAUUGGGAAGGAAAGCGAUGCCGUGGGUAUCGCGCUCAAGGUUGGGCUCAUGUCCUAUCAGCUUGNGGUGAGGUAACGGCUCACCAAGGCAACGACGGGUGGCUGGUCUGAGAGGACGAUCAGCCACACUGGCACUGGCGACACGGGCCAGACUCCUACGGGGAGGCAGCAGUGAGGAAUAUUGCGCAAUGGG